Molecule: unclassified non-coding RNA, 332 nt
Filed under: soil metagenome
Description: partial contains 5.8S ribosomal RNA, internal transcribed spacer 2, and large subunit ribosomal RNA
Rfam family: 5.8S ribosomal RNA (bases 1-120)
Source: RNAcentral
GAUGAAGAACGCAGCGAAAAGCGAUACGUAAUGUGAAUUGCAGAUUUCAGUGAAUCAUCGAAUCUUUGAACGCACAUUGCGCCCGCUAGUAUUCUGGCGGGCAUGCCUGUUCGAGCGUCAUUUCAACCAUCAAGCCCUAGGCUUGCGUUGGAGCCCUGCGGCUGCCGCAGGCUCCCAAAUCCAGUGGCGGGCUCGUCGUCGUACCGAGUGCAGUAAACAUCCUCGCUCAGGGAACGUGACGGGUUCUUGCCGUGAAACCCCCCACAUAUCAAGGUUGACCUCGGAUCAGGUAGGAAUACCCGCUGAACUUAAGCAUAUCAAUAAGCGGAGGA